AUUGAACGCUGGCGGCAUGCCUAACACAUGCAAGUCGAACGGCAGCGGACCUUCGGGUGCCGGCGAGUGGCGAACGGGUGAGUAAUAUAUCGGAACGUACCUUUCAGUGGGGGAUAACGUAGCGAAAGUUACGCUAAUACCGCAUAUUCUGUGAGCAGGAAAGCAGGGGAUCGCAAGACCUUGCGCUGAUUGAGCGGCCGAUAUCAGAUUAGCUAGUUGGUGAGGUAAAGGCUCACCAAGGCGACGAUCUGUAGCGGGUCUGAGAGGAUGAUCCGCCACACUGGAACUGAGACACGGUCCAGACUCCUACGGGAGGCAGCAGUGGGGAAUUUUGGACAAUGGGCGCAAGCCUGAUCCAGCCAUGCCGCGUGAGUGAAGAAGGCCUCGGGUUGU
Molecule: ribosomal RNA, 393 nt
Filed under: uncultured bacterium
Lineage: Bacteria
Description: bacterial SSU rRNA
Rfam family: Bacterial small subunit ribosomal RNA
Source: RNAcentral